Molecule: ribosomal RNA, 384 nt
Filed under: uncultured bacterium
Lineage: Bacteria
Description: bacterial SSU rRNA
Rfam family: Bacterial small subunit ribosomal RNA
Source: RNAcentral
UACGUAGGGUGCGAGCGUUAAUCGGAAUUACUGGGCGUAAAGGGUGCGCAGGCGGCCUUGUAAGUCAGAUGUGAAAGCCCCGGGCUUAACCUGGGAAUUGCGUUUGAAACUACAAAGCUAGAGUGCAGCAGAGGGGAGUGGAAUUCCAUGUGUAGCAGUGAAAUGCGUAGAGAUGUGGAAGAACACCGAUGGCGAAGGCAGCUCCCUGGGUUGACACUGACGCUCAUGCACGAAAGCGUGGGGAGCAAACAGGAUUAGAUACCCUGGUAGUCCACGCCCUAAACUAUGUCAACUAGUUGUCGGAUCUAAUUAAGGAUUUGGUAACGUAGCUAACGCGUGAAGUUGACCGCCUGGGGAGUACGAUCGCAAGAUUAAAACUCAAAG